RNAcentral lists this transfer RNA (71 nucleotides) under Periconia digitata. Its description in RNAcentral is "tRNA-Met". It matches the Rfam family "tRNA". From Rfam's summary of the family: Transfer RNA (tRNA) molecules are approximately 80 nucleotides in length. Their secondary structure includes four short double-helical elements and three loops (D, anti-codon, and T loops). Lineage: Eukaryota; Fungi; Ascomycota; Dothideomycetes; Pleosporales; Periconiaceae. The record is from RNAcentral.
UGCGGUUUGAUGUAAUAGUAACAUAUUUGGCUCAUGACCAAAUUAUAGGGGUGCAAGUCCUCUGACCGCUC